UUAUUUUGCAUUCAUGCUGCCUUUAUCCUAGGAACCUACAAAUCUACAAUUAGAAACUCAAUGAUAAUUGAAAUAGUAGUGCAACUUGAAUCACACUGUAAACAUUCAGGGAAGUCAUUAGCUUCAUUUGUUGGGAAAUUUAUAAAUAGGAUCUGUAUUUUGGAUUAGUAGUUUAUUGGUGCCUUUACCAGUUGUAAUGACAGUUGAUACAUGGGUCUUCAAAAACCUGAUUCAUGGUAAACUGUAGAUUGUAACCUUGAGUCUGGAAGAAUGGCAUGUUAUAAGUUAGUGGCUUGAACACUGGAUUGUCCAUCUGU
RNAcentral lists this long non-coding RNA (317 nucleotides) under Manihot esculenta (cassava). Its description in RNAcentral is "long non-coding RNA (MESC_LNC012611)". Lineage: Eukaryota; Viridiplantae; Streptophyta; Magnoliopsida; Malpighiales; Euphorbiaceae. The record is from RNAcentral.